GUGGGGAAUAUUGGGCAAUGGGCGAAAGCCUGACCCAGCAACGCCGCGUGAAGGAAGAAGGUUUUCGGAUCGUAAACUUCUAUCCUUGGUGAAGAUAAUGACGGUAGCCAAGAAGGAAGCCCCGGCUAACUACGUGCCAGCAGCCGCGGUAAUACGUAGGGGGCAAGCGUUGUCCGGAAUGAUUGGGCGUAAAGGGCGCGUAGGCGGCCUGGUAAGUCUGGAGUGAAAGUCCUGCUUUUAAGGUGGGAAUUGCUUUGGAUACUGUCGGGCUUGAGUGCAGGAGAAGUAAGCGGAAUUCCCGGUGUAGCGGUGAAAUGCGUAGAGAUCGGGAGGAACACCAGUGGCGAAGGCGGCUUACUGGACUGUAACUGACGCUGAGGCGCGAAAGUGUGGGGAGCAAACAGGAUUAGAAACCCGAGUAGUCC
This 425-nucleotide ribosomal RNA is filed under the name uncultured bacterium. RNAcentral's name for it is "partial 16S ribosomal RNA". It matches the Rfam family "Bacterial small subunit ribosomal RNA", at positions 354 to 796 of the family's 1533-position model. The record is from RNAcentral.